Molecule: non-coding RNA, 2093 nt
Organism: Erpetoichthys calabaricus (reedfish)
Lineage: Eukaryota; Metazoa; Chordata; Cladistia; Polypteriformes; Polypteridae
Source: the annotation of a RefSeq genome assembly
CUUCACCCUGAGCUGCUCCAUCCAGAACUUCUAUCCCAUGGACAUCAAGGUGACUUGGCUACGGGUCAGUGGGGAAGGACAGAAAGAAAUCCGAGCUCACCCAGUGACCCCAGUGACAGGGGACAGGGGCUACGGAGUGGAGGCUGUGGCUGAAUUCACCCCACGGACUCUGAGUGACCUGCUGGACUCGGACUGUGUGUGUGUUGUGCAUCACGAGGCCUCAGAUAAACCUGUGGAGAGACGUCUUGGCAAAGAGUUUUUAAAAGGUUUUGCUCGUGAGCCCACCGUCUCAGAUGUGCAGGUCCACUUCACUGACUUUGGUCAGCGCUGUACCCUCACCUGCGUCAUCUCAGACUUUUACCCCAAAGAGAUCAAAGUCACCUGGAUGAGGAGACAGAAGGGAACCAAAUGGACAUAUCAGACACGUACAGGGGACUGGAAACCCACCAUGACUCAGUAUGGGCCGUCAGUAACAGAUAACUGGUACUCAAUGCUGUGUCAGGCUGAAUUCACCCCUCAGACCCUCAGUGACGUGGAGGACAUGGAGUUCAUCUGCAGAGUGGAGCACAUGAUGAAGGCGCCUGUUGAGAGGAGCUGCUCUGUCAUUUCAGGUCUGCACCGACGCCCCCCGACUGUGUCAGAUAUACAGGUGAGUGAGUAUAAAGGACUCCAUCAGUCCCGCACGCUGAGCUGCUCCAUCCUGGACUUCUACCCCAGAGACAUUAGAGUGACCUGGCAAUGGGCUGGUGAUAGAGGACCAGACAUCAGAUCUCAGUCACGUGAACCCCAACAAGCAGAGCAAAGCUACCAGCUGGAGGCCAAGGCCAUUUUCACUCCAAAGACUCCAAAUGACUGGGAGGACAUGGAGGUUAUCUGUGUGGUGGAGCACGAGACUCUGAACGGACAGCACAUUGAGAAGAGACUGGUAGUGCCAGGUCAGACUACAGCCAGUCAGAUGGACAAUGGAUCUGGAAAUCAAACAAAAGAGGACAAUAAGCCUACUGACUCAGGUGAGAAUGGACCCAGUCAGAAGCCCAAAGGAAAUAAAGGUAAAACACCCAGCCAUUGGGGUCACUAACCACAAGUGUGGCAUCAGCCCCAUGGUGUAAAUAAAGAUCAAAAAUCUGAAGCACCUGCCUAGUGUGUGACGAGUGACCGGUGGCACUAAGGUGACCCUCUAAGGUGACCCUCUGCUGUCCUCUGAGUGUUGCUCAUGCUGCUCUCCAGUCCAUCUGACAACAAUGAAAGGCCCAGCAGCUUCAUUACUUCUAAACUGUAAGACGUCAACUGUAAGAGACCCCUAAUUGACGUCUCCUCCUCAAGCUCACCUCGUCCUGAACUCUCCUUCUAAAGCUGCGGUGAUUCAGCUCAGCAUCAUUUACCACAUCGGCCAACCCAGAUGUGCCCACCCAUGGUCAGCUAAGAGAAGGAAAAAAGCCAAAGCAACCAGAAAGAAGGUGGUCCUCGGGCUGCCACUCCACCUCUGCAGGGCUCACUAAUCACUUUGAGGACUCCUGAGUGGGCUGUCCAAGGUGGGGGGUCCUGAACACAUUUCUGUAAUCCACCUGAGACCAUCAAGUGGGAGAGAAGCUGCAAUCAGUCAGUCAGUCAUUCUGGUGGCCUCAGUGUCACUUGUCCAUCUGUACAGAUGAGAGCUUCAGGGUUUUGUGCUUUGGGUCUGGUUGGUGGUCUCCAUUUGGUUGGUGGUCUCCAUUGCUCUUCUCCUAGUCCUCACAUCUCUUCCCAGGUGUUUUUUGGUGUCACUUUGCUCUGCUGGUUACGACACUUCAUUCCUGUGACUGUCACACUGUGAGGACGUUUACUUCUUGUGACCCUAAAGGCUCCGAUGUUUCAUUGUUGGUGAUUGAGUUUCUGUGGCUGUCGCUGCUCCUCUCAUGUCUGCCUCUUAUUUCACAGAUUUUACUUUAUUUGUGUUCAUAGUUCACUCUGAGUGUUUGUAGGUCUCUCCACGCAGCACGUCGUCCUCGUCGUCUUCUUUUUAUUUCAUUUUCAGAGCUCAUGUCAUCAGUUUGUUCUUCUUUGGUCACCUAAAGCCUAAUAAAGCGAUGGCCUGCAGAGUCAGGACUCCAUGU